AAAGAAACCUGGUUGUGUGAAAGAAUAUAACAAAGAAAUAUUCUGUGUACUGGAGUUGGACAAAAGCUCAGGAAGACUUUCCUGUAGAAUUGAUUAAGCUGAGACCCAAAAGAGAAGCAGAAAAGAUAACUGGAAUGAAAGUUGGGGGUUUGGAAAAAGAAUAGUGUGUCUGACAUGAUUCUGAACAGUUAGAAAAGGCCAAAUUAUGUAGAUCCUUGCAAUAAAGCUACUUAAUGAUUUUGAGUGGUGAUGCUAGAGGUGUAGUAGGGUGGUACACAUGUGAAGCAUAAUUAAAUUUUAUUUAAAUUGGUAAUCUGAUUACAGAAUUGAGAAGUCAAAUGAACGGAAGAGACUUACAUGAUUAAAACAAAACAGUGACCUCUCCGAGUUGAGUUGAAGACAGGGGAGUGCUGGAGCCCACACAUGUACUUGGACGACCAGACUGUGUGCAUCUCUUCCUGAUGCUGCAUUCAGUGACAUCACAUUGGUAGUUUGAAAUCAACCAUAAUGGAGGUCUGUUACAUUGAGAAGUAUCCUGCAUUUAUAAAUGGACUAAGAGAUGAGUAUACUGGCUUUGUGUCCAGGAUGUGUGGUCUUCCUAUUUAAAGAUUAUGGUGCUUCAAGGACUCCAGAACAGUGUCCAGCCAGCAGAAGCAGGACAGAAUGGCGAGGCCAGAACCGAGCAGUCUGCAGUCAGUUUGUCAAGCCAUGGAACUCUCUUGUAGCUAGGAUCACAAAGGCCCACGGUAAGAAUGUGAGUCCCCAGCGUCCUCCACUUAUUUAUUCUCUGGGUGCAGGUCCAGUGCCCACUACUGGUGAUCCCAGGCUAGGAGCCCCAUUUUUUCCUUCUUUAUCCUCAGUGUCUCCCAUCACCUCUCUGUUGAAUCCCAGUUUUCUCUCUCAGAAAAUCUAUUUGAAGUGUGAAUAUUUAUUCAAUAUUUUGGUUAUUCUCCAUGGAAGAGGCAUACCCU
RNAcentral lists this long non-coding RNA (971 nucleotides) under Papio anubis (olive baboon). RNAcentral's name for it is "lncRNA (ENSPANG00000041468.1)". The record is from RNAcentral. Lineage: Eukaryota; Metazoa; Chordata; Mammalia; Primates; Cercopithecidae.